GCGGAGGUGGCGGACUGGCUACGCAGCCGCCUGCAGAGCGGCGUAAGGGGGUUCGAUUCCCUCCCUCCGCU
This 71-nucleotide transfer RNA is filed under the name Nanobdellota archaeon. RNAcentral describes it as "tRNA-Cys". It matches the Rfam family "tRNA". From Rfam's summary of the family: Transfer RNA (tRNA) molecules are approximately 80 nucleotides in length. Their secondary structure includes four short double-helical elements and three loops (D, anti-codon, and T loops). The record is from RNAcentral. Lineage: Archaea; Nanobdellati; Nanobdellota.